AGCAGAAUUUAAUAAACUGCAGGGGUGCAGCACUGCUCUCAGCAUUUCCCCAGAGCAUUAUGCYCACAUAUGGAGUCUGUGAACUUCCAGCUCAACUGCAGAGGCAAAUGGAAACUUAGAGCCAGGUCAAAAAGGCUGUGCAAAAGAGGCUGGAGAGCAAAACCAGAUGGAUCUUUCACUAACAGAGACUYUGGUAUUCACUGGAGGAAAGAAAUCAGCUAUUCUAUAGACUAGGACAAUGGAGUAAACAGUUUGCUCUAGUUCUGUGUUUUUCAUCAGGGUAUGUGCUGGCACAGACUGUGUCAACACAGAUGUUGAACAGCAACUUUGAUCUGGGACAAAAUGCACUCAUUAAUGCUGURUUGUGGGUAGAUUGCAGAUCUGAAGACAUUAUAGAGGGAGGAGCCAAUCUCUGCAUCUUCAAGUUUAAARGGAAGACCUUAAUAAGGACUGCUGAACCUGACUAGCUGCCUCGUAGGAAAUUGUAAGCAGUCAUCACAUCUCCAUCACCUGGCACUUUUGCUCAGGGCCAAGGUGGGAAAACAUCCUGGAUCCUGUCCCCAGAUUCAGCCAAGAGGCCUCGAUGAUUCUGGCACGCUGCUUUGAGCUUUGAGGACUGGUUAUUCGAUCCAGCCAACCUCGAGAAAAGCAGCUGGGAUAGCCAGGCAAGCUGAAAACGUGGUGUUCUGAGCAUGGGGYACAAAAUCAGCAGAGUUCUGCUGCCCUCUCAUCCCAGCCCGGCUCAUGGAAGUGUCCAUCCUGCCCAAGCUGUGAGGUGUCCCUGGAACAUCAUGCUGCCCUGCUGGAUGGGAAGGGCUUCCAGCUCCCUCCUGAAUCCCUCCUCGCUCCUGAUGUGGAGCUGCCUCUGAUAUAUCUCAUUAUAUUGAGAAGAGCACUUAUUGGGAUAAGGCCUAAUUCUCCAGCAGCAGCACUGCCCAUGGCUUAUCUCCCACCAGGAUGAUGUCUGGUCAUGGAAAAGGAGGGCUGCAAUCAGCCGUGCUAUCGUGGCCUUCUUCCCCUCUGACUGGAUGAACCUGAGGAGC
This is a long non-coding RNA of Malurus melanocephalus (red-backed fairy wren), 1043 nucleotides long. RefSeq lists it as uncharacterized. The transcript is spliced from 4 exons. NCBI's taxonomy places the organism in Eukaryota, Metazoa, Chordata, Aves, Passeriformes, Maluridae. The record is from RefSeq and is a predicted model, not a curated record.